UCAGUGCUCUCGGCACCUAGGUUGGAGUCCCUAGGUUGUUGUACUAACUCCACCAGGCUCGUGUUUGGUUCCACAGAUAUUCAUCAGGGACCGCGCAUUGCAAUUGGUAGCCUUUCAACAGCACUGUGCAGAAUCAAGUCUUUGCAUCUAUGUAUGCGUACUCUAUGUUUGGACAUGGUUAUUGAAUUGAUGAGAUGUUUUCCGUGCUUGGAGAAGUUGUACAUUCAGUGCGAGAAAUCUGGGACAAAGAAUUUGUGGCGUCGUAAACACCGGGACCUUCUCAGAUCUUUUGACAUCCGUCUAAAAAAAAUUGUAUUGGAUUGUUAUCGGGCCAAAAAACCUGACAUUGAUUUUGUAACUUUUUUCGUACUAAAUGCUAGAGUUCUAGAGUCGAUGACAGUUUUAGUCAAGAGGAACGAUGAGGAGUUCUUGGCAAAACAGCGUCAGAAGCUUCUGCUAGAGAGCAAGGCUUCAGAUGGGGCUGAAAUUAAUUUCGUACUCAAGGUGGACGCAAAUCCUGGGACAUAUUAUAGUAUAAGUCUGUGAUUUUGAUUUAAUGUACAUAUGGAUGUGUGUUGUAUUGGUAACUCAUGAGCUUUUCAUAUUAGCGAAUAAAAGAAUUUAUGAUGGA
Molecule: long non-coding RNA, 631 nt
Organism: Triticum dicoccoides
Lineage: Eukaryota; Viridiplantae; Streptophyta; Magnoliopsida; Poales; Poaceae
Exons: 3
Source: RefSeq, a predicted model, not a curated record